This 253-nucleotide ribosomal RNA is filed under the name uncultured bacterium. RNAcentral describes it as "partial 16S ribosomal RNA". It matches the Rfam family "Bacterial small subunit ribosomal RNA", at positions 524 to 776 of the family's 1533-position model. The record is from RNAcentral.
UACAGAGGUGGCAAGCGUUGUUCGGAUUCAUUGGGCGUAAAGGGUGCGUAGGCGGUCGCGUAAGUCGGAUGUGAAAUCUCAGGGCUCAACCCUGAAACUGCAUUCGAUACUGCGUGGCUAGGGUACUGGAGAGGAGACUGGAAUUUACGGUGUAGCAGUGAAAUGCGUAGAUAUCGUAAGGAAGACCAGUGGCGAAGGCGAGUCUCUGGACAGUUACCGACGCUGAGGCACGAAGGCCAGGGGAGCAAACGGG